CUCUGUGAACAAUGUAACAUAUAUGUAGUUAGAGAAACACUGAUUUGACUCCUGUGUAAAACUGUCUUUUCCUUGUGCUACAGCAGAUCUCUCAAAUGCUCCAAAUUUAGCCACAUUUGCUCAACAGGGACAUAGUGUCGGAGAGGCUCUCUGGGUCCAGCUCCUUGUUCAAUGCGGGAUUUAUAGCUAGAGCAUCUACAGCAAGGUGUCCAGACUCAUUUUGAAGACAUACAGAGAAGGAAGCCAUCUCACCCCUCCAGGCAAUUGGUUCCAUUGCAAACGGUUCUCAGUGACAUGAAAUACCUCUUCUGGGACUAAAAUGGCCUAGGGGUUCUCAAAAUGUGACAUAAAUAACCCUAAUUUGAGGCCUGUCUGUCUGUCUGUCUCUAUAUAUAUGUACGUGCAAUAACCAAUGGAUGUAAGAGCUGGACCAUAAGGAAGGCUGAGUGAAGGAAGACACAUUUGAACUGUGGUGUUGGAGAAAAAUUCUGAGAGUGCCUUGGACCACAAGAAGAUCAAACCAGUCCAUCCAGGAAAUAAUGCCUGACUGCUCACUGAAGGGAAGGAUAUUACAGGCAAAGAUGAAGUAUUUUGGCCACAUAAUGAGAAAACAGGAAAGCUCAGAGAAGAGAAUGUUGCUGGAGAAAAAAGGAAAAAGGAAGAGGGACCGACCAAGGGCAAGAUGGAUGGAUGGUAUCCUUGAAGUGACUGCUUAACCUUGAAGGAGCUGAGGGUGGCCACACAGCAGACAGGAAGCUCUGGCGUGGGCUGGUCCAUGAGAUCAGGAAGUCAGAAGUGACUGAACGAAUAAACAUAUACAUAUACAUAUAUAUAUAUAUAGAGAGAGAGAGAGAGAGAGAGAGAGAUGCAAGUAAGAUGCAAAGGUUUACAAAAUGCAAAAUUUGCAACAGAAAUGUUUACAAGUUGAAACAAAGGACCAAGUUGAAGGAAAGUGGAGGGACAAUGUUGGGGAACCCCAUGAGAAUGAAAAUCCAGUGAAUGCAAAUUGUCUGGAAUCAUGUUUCAGAGAUAAACAUGCGUCUAUCAAAUUCAAUAAACUAUAAUGAAAAAC
Long non-coding RNA from Anolis carolinensis (green anole), 1072 nucleotides. RefSeq lists it as uncharacterized. The transcript has 2 exons. The record is from RefSeq and is a predicted model, not a curated record. Lineage: Eukaryota; Metazoa; Chordata; Lepidosauria; Squamata; Anolidae.